GGCGCUUGAGGCUUUUUGCCUCAUGACGUUCUGUGGGUUUGUUAUGGUUGUUGUGAGGCAGAAAGAAGAAAGCCCCGAAGGUAAAUUUUCAUUUAACCAACGAGGCUCAAUCUUGAUACUAGACACAUCAAAGAUUAGCCGCUUACCUGCCGAAAGGCAAGGAGAAGUA
RNAcentral lists this antisense RNA (169 nucleotides) under insect gut metagenome. RNAcentral describes it as "sok antitoxin (CssrC)". It matches the Rfam family "sok antitoxin (CssrC)". From Rfam's summary of the family: Also identified in Shigella as CssrC. The record is from RNAcentral.